UGGUACUGGAGAAGGACUGCGCU
Molecule: non-coding RNA, 23 nt
Filed under: Cricetulus griseus (Chinese hamster)
Lineage: Eukaryota; Metazoa; Chordata; Mammalia; Rodentia; Cricetidae
Source: RNAcentral